Long non-coding RNA from Oncorhynchus masou masou (cherry salmon), 1582 nucleotides. RefSeq lists it as uncharacterized. The transcript has 2 exons. The record is from RefSeq and is a predicted model, not a curated record. NCBI's taxonomy places the organism in Eukaryota, Metazoa, Chordata, Actinopteri, Salmoniformes, Salmonidae.
UAGUGGUGGUGGUAGUGAUAGUAGUGGUGGUGGUGGUGGUGAUAGUAGUGGUGGUGAUAGUAGUGGUGGUGGUGGUGAUAGUAGUGGUGGUGGUGGUGAUAGUAGUGGUGGUGGUAGUGAUAGUGGUAGUGGUAGUAGUGGUGGUGGUAGUGGUGGUAGUAGUAGUUGUUUAAAAAAGAAAAAAAUAUAUAUUUUAUCAGGGAGUCAUACUGAGGCCAAGAUCUCUUUUACAGAUGAGCCCUGAAUUAAAACAUAUAUAUUAAAUCAUAUGAUUAUGUUUGGUUAUAAUGAACAUACCUUUUUGUCAGGUAGUAAAACAGCUCUUUUCAUCCUCAGCCUCACCAACAGAUGUCCCCUCUACAGUUUCAGCUGUUUCCCCUGCAGCCCCUCCUGCCAACCCCUCUGCCCCCCCUGGCAGAGCCUUCAUCAGAAGACACAGGAUGGCUCUAGAGACUCGCCUGGGACUCUUACAGUCCUUAUUCCUGCGUCUCCAGGAUUGUGGGGUUCUAAAUGGCGAGGAGAGGGAGGAGGUGGACAGCAAAUCCACCAAGACCCUACAGAACCAAGCCCUGCUGAACAUGGUGGUAAGGAAGGGGUCUCGCGCCCAGGAACACUUCUACCAGGUCCUGAAGGAAGUAGAUCCCUGCCUGGUCGAAGACCUGGAAGAGCAGACAGUCUGAGGCAGGUUGCCAUGGAUACAACCUCAGAAGAUAUCAAAACAUUUAUCAGAGACAGAGAGCAGCACUUUGAGGAGGAGCCAUCCUGACCAGAGGUGGUUGGUGUGUCAUGUGAUUGGACACCAUUUUCACCAGCACUCCCAUCAGUCUGUAGUUUACUAUACAAGCCCCAGGUCUCAGGCAAGAUGACAUCACUGUUUUUUAUUUUACCUUUAUUUAACUAGGCAAGUCAGUUAAGAACAAAUUCUUAUUUUCAAUGACGGCCUAGUGGGUUAACUGCCUGUUCAGGGGCAGAAUGACAGAUUUGUACCUUGUCAGCUCGGGGAUUUGAACUUGCAACCUUCCGGUUACUAGUCCAACGCUCUAACCACUAGGCUACCCUGCCGCCCUGUGAGGCUACUGUCUACCAGACAACCUACCUGUGUUACUCUGGUACACUGGCUAUAAACAAGAUUUUUGAAUUUCUAUCUGGAACAUGGUGAAUGUUGAAUCAUCUUGGACAGGGAAGCUGAAAGGUCAAAUAUACUGUUAGGCUUUCUACUGUCAAGUUUAUACCUUCACUAUUGCACUGAAAUGUUUUGAUUGGGAAGUUGUCUAAAUGGGAUAUCAUUUUUUGUGAGUGAAGGAAAAGCAGCCAACAAGUGCUCAGCAUAUGUGGGAACUCCUUCAAGACUGUUGGAAAAGCAUUCCUCAUGAAGCUGGUUGAGGGAAUGCCAAGAUUGUGCAAAGCUGUCAUCAAGGCAAAGGGUGGCUACUUUGAAGAAUCUCAAAUAUAAAAUACAUUCUAUAUUUAACACUUUUUUUGGUUACUACAUGAUUCCAUAUGUUUUGUUUCAUAGCUUUGAUGUCUUCACUAUUAAUCUACAAUGUAGAAAAUAGUACAAAUAAAGAAACCCUGGAAUGAG